UGGGGAAUUUUGGACAAUGGGCGCAAGCCUGAUCCAGCAAUGCCGCGUGCAGGAUGAAGGCCCUCGGGUUGUAAACUGCUUUUGUACGGAACGAAAAGCCUGGGGCUAAUACCCCCGGGUCAUGACGGUACCGUAAGAAUAAGCACCGGCUAACUACGUGCCAGCAGCCGCGGUAAUACGUAGGGUGCGAGCGUUAAUCGGAAUUACUGGGCGUAAAGCGUGCGCAGGCGGUUAUGCAAGACAGAGGUGAAAUCCCCGGGCUCAACCUGGGAACUGCCUUUGUGACUGCAUAGCUAGAGUACGGUAGAGGGGGAUGGAAUUCCGCGUGUAGCAGUGAAAUGCGUAGAUAUGCGGAGGAACACCGAUGGCGAAGGCAAUCCCCUGGGCCUGUACUGACGCUCAUGCACGAAAGCGUGGGGAGCAAACA
RNAcentral lists this ribosomal RNA (427 nucleotides) under uncultured bacterium. RNAcentral describes it as "bacterial SSU rRNA". It matches the Rfam family "Bacterial small subunit ribosomal RNA", at positions 355 to 774 of the family's 1533-position model. The record is from RNAcentral.